Molecule: ribosomal RNA, 784 nt
Filed under: uncultured archaeon
Lineage: Archaea
Description: bacterial SSU rRNA
Rfam family: Archaeal small subunit ribosomal RNA
Source: RNAcentral
ACUGGGGCUAAUUCUCGAUAGGCGAAGAACUCUGGAAUGAGUCUUCACCCGAAAAAGCUUCACGUUAUGCUCGUGAAGUCGCCCAAGGAUGAGGCCGCGACCGAUCAGGUUGUUGGUGAGGUAAUGGCUCACCAAGCCUUUUACCGGUGCGGGCCGUGAGAGCGGGAGCCCGGAGAUGGGCACUGAGACAAGGGCCCAGGCCCUACGGGGCGCAGCAGUCGCGAAAACUUUGCAAUACACGAAAGUGUGACAGGGCUAUCCCGAGUGCCAUCCGCUGAGGAAGGCUUUUACCCAGUAUAGAUCGCUGGGGGAAUAAGGAGAGGGCAAGUCUGGUGUCAGCCGCCGCGGUAAUACCAGCUCUCCGAGUGGUGUGGAUGUUUAUUGGGCCUAAAGCAUCCGUAGCUGGCUAGGUAAGUCCCUUGUUAAAUCCACCGAAUUAAUCGUUGGAUUGCGGGGGAUACUGCUUGGCUAGGGGACGAGAGAGGCAGACGGUAUUUCCGGGGUAGGGGUGAAAUCCUAUAAUCCCGGGAAGACCACCAGUGGCGAAGGCUGUCUGCUAGAACGCGCCCGACGGUGAGGGAUGAAAGCUGGGGGAGCGAACCGGAUUAGAUACCCGGGUAGUCCCAGCUGUAAACGAUGCAGGCUAGGUGUUUGGACGGCCACGUGCCGUUCUAGUGCCGCAGGGAAGCUGUUAAGCCUGCCGCCUGGGGAGUACGAUCGCAAGAUUGAAACUUAAAGGAAUUGGCGGGGGAGCACCACAAGGGGCGAAGCUUGCGGUUUAUUG